This 340-nucleotide ribosomal RNA is filed under the name Tarsostenus carus. RNAcentral describes it as "partial 12S ribosomal RNA". Lineage: Eukaryota; Metazoa; Arthropoda; Insecta; Coleoptera; Cleridae. The record is from RNAcentral.
CCUGUUCUAUAAUUGAUAAUCCACGAUUUAAUUUACCUUAUCUUAUUAAUUUAUAUAUCGUCGUAGUUUGAAUAUUUUUGAAGAAAAAUAAUAUUCAAAAUUUAUUAUUAUAAAAUAAAUCAGAUCAAGGUGUAGUUUAUAGGUAAGAAGAAAUGGGUUACAAUAAAGUUAUUUAUGGAUUAUUUUUUGUUAGAAAUUUUGAAAUUGGAUUUGAAAGUAAUUUUAUUUUAAAUUUUUAAAAUGAUUUAAGCUCUAAAAUAUGUACAUAUUGCCCGUCGCUUUUGUUUUAAGAUGAAAUAAGUCGUAACAAAGUAGAUUUACUGGAAAGUGAAUCUAGAAG